UGGGGAAUUUUGGACAAUGGACGCAAGUCUGAUCCAGCCAUGCCGCGUGAGUGAAGAAGGCCUUCGGGUUGUAAAGCUCUUUUGUCAGGGAGCAAAUCCUGCCUGCUAAUACUAGGCGGGGAUGAGAGUACCUGAAGAAUAAGGACCGGCUAACUACGUG
Molecule: ribosomal RNA, 160 nt
Filed under: bacterium enrichment culture
Lineage: Bacteria
Description: partial 16S ribosomal RNA
Rfam family: Bacterial small subunit ribosomal RNA
Source: RNAcentral